UCUAAAAGUCACAAGAUGAGAGAGAGAGAGAGAGAGAGAGAGAGAGAGAGAGAGGCCUGCGGUGACUGGAAGACAGGAGGGCAUCUGGUACAUCUGGGAGUGGAAACUUGAUGCCUCUGGGCCAAGAUUUGUCAGGGCCACCGCCUAAGACGCCUAAAGGAGCCUGCUUGUGUGCUGUGGCCAUGUUCUGCUGUGACUGGAUCUUGUCUUCUGCCUGGAGCCUCAAUUUCGGUUCUUCUGGAUUUGGGGAACAACACUGCCUGGCGCAAGGACAUCAAAUGAGACUUCAAAGAAGCAUAGAAUGAAUAGACCAAUCAAACAAAGACCGGGGGCAGCAGUACGCCAGCAAGACAGCAUCUUCUCCCGAGCCUAGAAGUCCUGAGAAACCGAGGAUCUCCACCUAAAACAUUCACAUACAAGAUAUGUGCAAUCAAGCUGCCAGCACUUGGUAAAAGCUCAUGAUGCCUAACCCAAUGAUCCGGAGCAGAUCUUUGAAUCAGCUGUCACUUCUAUAGAAUGGGAUUUCCCCCCUCUUCCUCUUUAACCAGCGCUGGAAACUGCCGAUGGCUUUACACAUUUCAGUAGAGGAAGGCUAAAGAAUCUUCCGUGAGAAUGAAGCAAUUUACAAUGCAAAUAGAGCCCUGCAAAGGGCUGGACGCUGCUGCUCAGUGGAACAGCUUGCUGCUUCUUACUUUCUGAUAUUAAUAGAUGAAUUGCUGGCUAACGCGGCUGGAGAUUACUUGCUGGAAGGGAAAAAAGUUUGGAAUAAACUCUGAAUGCAACAGAUCUUAUUUGGAUGUUUUAGCCGCAGACACUCAGACAGAAACCAGGUCAUGUUUGCAUGAAAGGAGGAAUCUUAAAUGCGGCAAAUAUCCUGGAGGAGUACGCUUGUGUAAAUCCAGAGUGGAUCGGGAUCUGGAGUCCAACCAGAGGAAGACAGCCUUGUGAGGGAAGCGAGUUGUUAUCUUUGGUUAUCUAGCUGUAUGAGUGUAUUGGUCUUCAUAAAGCUAGAUAACCGAAAGUAAAAACUCCUUCAAGAUCACCGAGAGCUGCCAAGAAUGAAAGACUACAACCAAGAGACAGUAAAAACGAGAAAGGUCAGGAAUGCUUAUUGAAUCUAACUUUUUUUGUUCUUAUGAUUAAAAGCGGGAUGCAAGGAAAUUAAGGGACACACAUUCUGAAAUUGAAAGGGGCCAGGUUUUGAGAGGGGCGGUACACUUAGAGGAGAAUUGUGUUGUGUUUUUAUGAGUGAAGAUGCAUGUACUUCUCUAUAUUGUUCUAUUUUGAAACAAACAUUUACAUAAGAGAAUGUUUUCCUUAGAAAGCUGUUACAGUGAUGCCUGAUACCUCGUUUAAAAAUGAUUCCAUAAUCAUGUCGAGUUGGGCAGUUCCCUUCUGAGGCCCCUCCCUCAAGUUUGAAGUUUGUGCUUGGAAACUUUCUAUGUAUUUGGGGCUGAACAUUAAAUUCUAUGAAGUUAGACUUGCAGUAACGCUUAUACUGGAAGGUUAAUAAUUUAUAUCUCCUGAGGCCUUAGAGCUAGCAGGGAAAACGGAGAGGGGGGACGUCUGAUUUUUAUUCUUCUAUUCAAAAUACAAGGACAGAUGCUUCUCUGUUCCGAGAGGGUUUCCUUGAGGAAGCUACUGAAGCAGAAAGACAUGAUGGAGACGAGAUCGCCUCCCCUCUUGUCAAAGUGUUAAAAAAAUGUUCUGUCUUACUCUGCGCCUGGCAUUGGAAAUGAAAGUGACAUUUACGCCACAACCCACGUGUGCGCCUCCUCUCUUUUUGUUUAAGGAUGAUCAGGUCUAUCCAGGAAACAGCUCUGGCAUCCCAAACUGAAAUAAUUAGGACGUAUAUAGACCUGACAAAAAUGGAAAGGGGGUGGGGAAUCUGAGGGUCUGUCUUGCCUAAUUGAUUCCGCUAAACGGAAAGCAGGAGAUGUGAACGGCAGGACGCUCCGAUUCCCACGCUCGGGGGCAAGUGGUAAAGCCUAGUCGGCAGCCUAUGACAGACAGCCCUGUUGGGGGGCAGGGGUAUGAAAAAAAAACCAUCAAGCACACACACCAUACUCAUCUCCAUCGCUUAAGAAAGUAAAGGCAUUUCCCACCCACAGCCAUCUGCAGCCUCCCAAAUGGCAACACCAACUGACUGCUAGUUGCUACGUACUCUUUCUGUGAAUUUUUAAACCACUGUUUAAUCUGGCCAUGAUUAAAUUUGGCUUUCUCCUUGGGUUGAAAUUUUCAUUAUCUAAGGAAAGCAGGUGGAAAGGGAUGCCAAGAACGUCCGUCAGAGAAAUCCUCAGCCUGUGGCUAAGGCCUGGUGGUUACCUUUUGACUUUUGUUUGGGCUGUGCUAUAUUUUAAAGUCAGUCUCAUAACACUCAUUAUGACUUUGUCGAGUUGUUUACUUCUUUCUGUGACACAGGAACUUGGCCUACUUAUGCUAAUCUACAUCCUGGAAAAAAAGCUGUGAAGCCAUCAGCUUGUAGAAAGUUGAUCACAAUCACAAUGUGUUUAAAACUAGUUUUAGGACAGUCCUAGCACGAUGUGGUCUACACAGUAUUUUCUUUUCUUUCUGACUUUACCUAAAAGUAAUUACUCCUACCAUAAACUUUGAGGUUUUGGAGAAAUCCAUUAUAAUCCUUUUCUAAAAUUCCUUAUAUUUUGUUACAUGUUGUCAGGCAAACAUUUUUAUAGGCGUUUGCACAUAAAUACAAUCAUUGCAAUAAAAAAUGUCUAAAAUUGCCUGUUAUCUUCCACAUGGCCUAAAUUAGUGUUACUUCCAAAUACAUAAUUUUUCUUCAGGGACAGUGCAUUUUUUCUUUACUGCUUCAUCUUCUUAUAAGAUUGAGAUUGGAAAAGUCUGUAAAACCCCUGUUAGCUUCACUUAGAAAAGCUGAGACUUUAAUAACGCAAUUUCUCAGUUUGGCUGCUGAACACGUGCCGAAGUUUUACUGUGGUAGUGACUGUUGAGAAGACUCAUGUUUAUUUACCUUUGAAGCAGUGUUUGUGCAAACAAGCUUUCAUUGUAAAGGGCCUGUGCUCCUUUCAUUUGCCCCGUGUCCAGGGGUGCUAUUUACCUAGAACCAUUGUCUACUACAAUUUACAUUUACAUUACAAAGUGUGUGGUUUUCUUUCUCAAGGAGGUUCAAUUAAGGCAAUAAGAUGUUUGCUGGGGAAACCUAUUGUUUACUCAAAGCACUCAAUGGAGUCAAAUUACUGAAGUUUUUGCCUACAUCUUGGUUGUUUAUGUAAAUAUGUUAACUAUAACAUCUAAGGAAAAUAAACAAUAUUAAAAUUAUGUGUUUGCCAUUGUCAUAUCAAACUUGCUUUGUAUCAUACUAAUGUUACAUAACUUAUCGAUCAAUAAAAAUACAUUUCAAUGUUAUUUUCAUUUUAUUUUUUGCUGUUCCACUGCUCUGGCUGCAACAUGUCCCAAAUUUUCUUUUUUCUAUUACACA
Long non-coding RNA from Microtus oregoni (creeping vole), 3457 nucleotides. RefSeq lists it as uncharacterized. The transcript is spliced from 4 exons. The record is from RefSeq and is a predicted model, not a curated record. NCBI's taxonomy places the organism in Eukaryota, Metazoa, Chordata, Mammalia, Rodentia, Cricetidae.